AACGUCAUCCACAAGAUUUUUUUCGCAACGGUGUCGGGGGUCACAAUCACUGUCAUUUACUCACGUAUGGUGGUCAAUGGAGCAAAAACUCCCUUGGGCCCUUUGCAAGCAGAAUGAGUGCCACUUCCGCAUGCCAGCCGGAGAGAGUGAAGCCUUGAUGAGGUUUUUAAGAUAUACACUGAUCUGGCUACAUUCAGAGAAGAAGAGUCCAGCUCAGCCAGAGCAGGAGAGUAUUGUGGCAAGUUGGAACAGCUCCAGACUUUGAAACAUAACCUUGACCUUGUGAAAGACACAGAGGACAAUGAGACUAUCCUCCAGAACACUUAUGACCCUGACCAGGGCAGCCCUUGUUUCACCAAGAACAAGCUCAGGGAGAGGGAGGUAGCAGAGAAGGGAGCUGCCUCCAGCCUCAGUGCAGCAGGAGGACACUUCUAACAUUUAGAUCGACCAGACUGACAAUACUGCAGGAAAUGCCAAAACAGCCAAAUCCAAGGCCUCCUUGGAGUCGGAAGGUCCUGGGAAUAUACAUAGGAGAAAGAAUAACAAAGGGAAGAGGAGAGGAGGAGGUGUCUGGGGCCCAGAGUGGGGCUGCGUUGGAACUCAAGGAUGAGUUACUCCAUGAGUACCGGUAGCAGAUGGCACAGGAAGUGGAGAGGGCUACCGUGAAGAAGACUGUACACAAGAAGUCAACAACGGACAAGACCAACGCUGCCCCUCAGGAAGCAGUAACAUUAAACAAUGAAGGUGCAAAGAAGAAGAACAAGCUGAGGUCGUCAUUGGAUUCUGAGAGGGAGACGAGUAUGGUAGAAGAUCUGCAGAAUCGCCAGUCCGAAGACAUCACUGAGAGGAUGAGGUCCAAGGAGAAGAGUCAAGAGAGCCACGACGAGGAGGAUGCAGUAGAAUCUUUCAAAUCCAAAGGCAAAAAAAAAAAAGAGAAUAAAACAAGGUUGUGGGUACUAACUGAGUGUGGCGUAUCGACAGCAAACUGCAUCCACAGCUGUUCUGUCCUCCUCCCCGGAGCAAGAGACAAGACCAUGGAGGUGGUAGACUGCUGGAGGAGAUACAGAUAACAGAUACACAUCCACCCUUUACAUCACUGCAAAAGGCCUUAAACUACCUGAUCAUGUACAUAUCUGCUUUAACAAAACUACCAUUACUAUGUAGUAGUAGUAGUAGUAGUAGUAGAAGAAGAAAUCCAAUCUUUAUCAAUCGGCAGUUCCUUUUCUGUAUGCCAAGGAGUGAGCUGUGGUUUGGUCCGAGUUGCAGAGUGAGUUCACCAGGAGAAACGACACACAACCUGUGCUCGUCCGCUGGAGGGGAAUCUCUGUUGUAAGCAUCAUGUUCUAUCUCUGUUUCCAUGUUUUAGUAUCUAACAGUAUCCAACUGCUUCCCAACUCAAGUGUUGUCCAAUUGUUCUUCUCAAGUCGUGAUGGUACGUUGAGAAACACAACUUUGAGACAACAUUGACACCAUUUUCUGUGGUGGUUGUGUGUUUGCCAGAAAAUGCCAUUAAAUUGUCUUCAGUUGUGUUAUUUGAUGAAGUUGUAUAUGUGUUGUAGGUGUGCCGGAUCCCCAAUAAGCCCAUGCUGUCGUUCCGUGGUGGUCAGAUGGGUUGUUUUACCGUGUGCUUCUCCCACAACGGCAGGAGGCUGGCUGCUGCAUGUGCUGACAGACUUUAACCACUCAUCAGAUCUCUCUCUAACCCUCACCCUACUCUACUGCCUUCUGUAUUUAGAUAGACGUGCCAAUCUACUUUACUUCUUGUUAUUCUUGUGAUCUAAAGCCGAAUUGACCACCUGCAAAAACCUGCCCUCCUUACUUACUGCUGCGAUAUCCG
Molecule: long non-coding RNA, 1837 nt
Organism: Oncorhynchus tshawytscha (Chinook salmon)
Lineage: Eukaryota; Metazoa; Chordata; Actinopteri; Salmoniformes; Salmonidae
Source: Ensembl